RNAcentral lists this ribosomal RNA (892 nucleotides) under Azotobacter chroococcum. RNAcentral's name for it is "bacterial SSU rRNA". It matches the Rfam family "Bacterial small subunit ribosomal RNA", at positions 14 to 903 of the family's 1533-position model. The record is from RNAcentral. Lineage: Bacteria; Pseudomonadati; Pseudomonadota; Gammaproteobacteria; Pseudomonadales; Pseudomonadaceae.
UGAUCCUGGCUCAGAUUGAACGCUGGCGGCAGGCCUAACACAUGCAAGUCGAGCGGAUGAGGGGUGCUUGCAUCCCGAUUCAGCGGCGGACGGGUGAGUAAUGCCUAGGAAUCUGCCCGAUAGUGGGAGACAACGUUUCGAAAGGAACGCUAAUACCGCAUACGUCCUACGGGAGAAAGUGGGGGCUCUUCGGACCUCACGCUAUCGGAUGAGCCUAGGUCGGAUUAGCUAGUUGGUGGGGUAAAGGCUCACCAAGGCGACGAUCCGUAACUGGUCUGAGAGGAUGAUCAGUCACACUGGAACUGAGACACGGUCCAGACUCCUACGGGAGGCAGCAGUGGGGAAUAUUGGACAAUGGGCGAAAGCCUGAUCCAGCCAUGCCGCGUGUGUGAAGAAGGUCUUCGGAUUGUAAAGCACUUUAAGUUGGGAGGAAGGGCUGUAAGCGAAUACCUUGCAGUUUUGACGUUACCGACAGAAUAAGCACCGGCUAACUUCGUGCCAGCAGCCGCGGUAAUACGAAGGGUGCAAGCGUUAAUCGGAAUUACUGGGCGUAAAGCGCGCGUAGGUGGUUUGGUAAGUUGGAUGUGAAAGCCCCGGGGUCAACCUGGGAACUGCAUCCAAAACUGCCUGACUAGAGUACGGUAGAGGGUGGUGGAAUUUCCUGUGUAGCGGUGAAAUGCGUAGAUAUAGGAAGGAACACCAGUGGCGAAGGCGACCACCUGGACUGAUACUGACACUGAGGUGCGAAAGCGUGGGAGCAAACAGGAUUAGAUACCCUGGUAGUCCACGCCGUAAAGAUGUCGACUAGCCGUUGGGCUCCUUGAGAGCUUAGUGGCGCAGCUAACGCAUUAAGUCGACCGCCUGGGGAGUACGGCCGCAAGGUUAAAACUCA